GUUCUCGCUUCGGGAGCACAUGUGUUAACAUUGGAACGAUACAGAGAAGAUUAGCACGGCCCUCGUGAAAUGACAUACAAAUUCAUGAAACAGUCCAUACUUUU
Small nuclear RNA from Symphalangus syndactylus (siamang), 104 nucleotides. NCBI's taxonomy places the organism in Eukaryota, Metazoa, Chordata, Mammalia, Primates, Hylobatidae. The record is from RefSeq and is a predicted model, not a curated record.